This 1470-nucleotide ribosomal RNA is filed under the name metagenome. RNAcentral's name for it is "bacterial SSU rRNA". It matches the Rfam family "Bacterial small subunit ribosomal RNA". The record is from RNAcentral.
AGAGUUUGAUCCUGGCUCAGGACGAACGCUGGCGGCACGCUUAACACAUGCAAGUCGAACGAGAGAAGAGGAGCUUGCUUUUCUGAUCUAGUUGCGGACGGGUGAGUAACACGUGAGCAAUCUGCCUUUCAGAGGGGGAUACCGAUUGGAAACGAUCGUUAAUACCGCAUAACAUAAUUGAACCGCAUGAUUUGAUUAUCAAAGAUUUAUCGCUGAAAGAUGAGCUCGCGUCUGAUUAGCUAGUUGGUAAGGUAACGGCUUACCAAGGCGACGAUCAGUAGCCGGACUGAGAGGUUGAUCGGCCACAUUGGGACUGAGACACGGCCCAGACUCCUACGGGAGGCAGCAGUGGGGAAUAUUGCACAAUGGAGGAAACUCUGAUGCAGCGAUGCCGCGUGAGGGAAGAAGGUUUUAGGAUUGUAAACCUCUGUCUUCAGGGACGAAAAAAGACGGUACCUGAGGAGGAAGCUCCGGCUAACUACGUGCCAGCAGCCGCGGUAAUACGUAGGGAGCGAGCGUUAUCCGGAAUUACUGGGUGUAAAGGGAGCGUAGGCGGGAUCGCAAGUCAGAUGUGAAAACUAUGGGCUUAACCCAUAAACUGCAUUUGAAACUGUGGUUCUUGAGUGAAGUAGAGGUAAGCGGAAUUCCUAGUGUAGCGGUGAAAUGCGUAGAUAUUAGGAGGAACAUCAGUGGCGAAGGCGGCUUACUGGGCUUUAACUGACGCUGAGGCUCGAAAGCGUGGGGAGCAAACAGGAUUAGAUACCCUGGUAGUCCACGCCGUAAACGAUGAUUACUAGGUGUGGGGGGACUGACCCCUUCCGUGCCGCAGCAAACGCAAUAAGUAAUCCACCUGGGGAGUACGACCGCAAGGUUGAAACUCAAAGGAAUUGACGGGGGCCCGCACAAGCAGUGGAGUAUGUGGAUUAAUUCGAAGCAACGCGAAGAACCUUACCAGGUCUUGACAUCGUAUGCAUAGCUCAGAGAUGAGUGAAAUCUCUUCGGAGACAUAUAGACAGGUGGUGCAUGGUUGUCGUCAGCUCGUGUCGUGAGAUGUUGGGUUAAGUCCCGCAACGAGCGCAACCCUUACUGUUAGUUGCUACGCAAGAGCACUCUAGCAGGACUGCCGUUGACAAAACGGAGGAAGGUGGGGAUGACGUCAAAUCAUCAUGCCCCUUAUGACCUGGGCCUCACACGUACUACAAUGGCUGUCAACAGAGGGAAGCAAAGCCGCGAGGUGGAGCGAACCCCUAAAAGCAGUCUUAGUUCGGAUUGUAGGCUGCAACCCGCCUACAUGAAGUCGGAAUUGCUAGUAAUCGCAGAUCAGCAUGCUGCGGUGAAUACGUUCCCGGGCCUUGUACACACCGCCCGUCACGCCAUGGGAGUCGGUAACACCCGAAGCCUGUAGUCUAACCGCAAGGAGGACGCAGUCGAAGGUGGGAUUGAUGACUGGGGUGAAGUCGUAACAAGGUA